AGUGAACGCUGGCGGUAGGCCUAACACAUGCAAGUCGAACGGCAGCACAGUAAGAGCUUGCUCUUACGGGUGGCGAGUGGAGGACGGGUGAGGAAUACAUCGGAAACUACUUUUUCGUGGGGGAUAACGUAGGGAAACUUACGCUAAUACCGCAUACGACCUACGGGUGAAAGCAGGGGAGCUUCGGACCUUGCGCGAUUGAAUGAGACGAUGUCGGAUUAGCUAGUUGGAGGGGUAAAGGCCCACCAAGGCGACGAUCCGUAGCUGGUCUGAGAGGAUGAUCAGCCACACUGGAACUGAGACACGGUCCAGACUCCUACGGGAGGCAGCAGUGGGGAAUAUUGGACAAUGGGCGCAAGCCUGAUCCAGCCAUACCGCGUGUGUGAAGAAGGCCUUCGGGUUGUAAAGCCCUUUUGUUGGGAAAGAAAAGCAGCAGGUUAAUACCCCGCUGUUCUGACGGUACCCAAAGAAUAAGCACCGGCUAACUUCGUG
RNAcentral lists this ribosomal RNA (492 nucleotides) under uncultured bacterium. RNAcentral's name for it is "partial 16S ribosomal RNA". It matches the Rfam family "Bacterial small subunit ribosomal RNA", at positions 29 to 507 of the family's 1533-position model. The record is from RNAcentral.